CUGGGCUGAGCCAGCUGCGCCGGCCGGGCCCGGGUAACCACGGCAACGCGGCGGCAGGAAUGCGCUUCAUGCAAGGCCCUGCUCCUCCCGCGGGAUGCGCAACAAGUGAAGCAAAACUAGUGAGGCGAGAGGGAGGCUAGGGGCAGGGGACCGGCGCCCGGAGACCUGACUUGUUCAGAAAUCUGAGGGCCAGCCACUCUGUGGACUCCCAUUAUGCCAAACCCCUCCUCGCUGGGUCCCCCGCUUGUUUCAAGGGAAGGAAUGGAGACCCCUGGACACACCCUCAGGUCUUUGUGGGUGCAGUGCAAGGGGUCUGCGGGCGAAGGGCAGCUGACACGAGUUCGAUCUCAAGUUCUCUUGGAUCAAUAGAAGUCCCUUCAAAGUGGUCCACGUCUAAAGAUGUGUGACCAUCAUACCAGCUUUCCUGGACGGUGCCAGUUUAUGCCUGUGGAUGGGCCAUAGUUAUUUUAAAAGCUCCCUCCCGGUUCACUCUUAAGUAACCCUAAAUUAUAAAGCCACCCUACUAUCUAAAGUCUUUUUAGGCCCAAAGAGAUCCUAAUCCAAAUCUUAGGUCUUCUCUGAACUCCUCCAGAAGGCCUGUAUAGCCCAAUCCAGGUAUUUAGGUUAAGCAGCAAACAGCCUGUAAUUAACAACGAAGGGCCAUCCACCGAGAAAAUGGGGACCUGCGAAGACAGAAUACUCUCAAAUCCAAGGGCAGGAAGACUUCCAUGACCCGAUUAGGGUCACCACUGGCAAGGCCACACAGAUGUCACUGAGAAAAUAAACAAGACCAACAGUGGCUUCUGAGCAAGCUCAGGGCAGAGCAGGCCAGCUCUAGGAAAGAGAGGGAGCUACUUCUCGUCCCUGUCACCUCAUCGCAUGUGGUUCGGUUGGGGCUGAGGGGAUAUACAUUCCUCCCCCAACACGCAGACUCCCCAGCAAAAGGAUUUCAGCAGAAACUAUGCAGAAAGAGGAACUUUAUCCUCCUGAGAUGGAAGGGAUGAGAGAGCUCAGAUGCCUGGAUCUGCUGGGGCCACUAUCUUUGCCCCCUGUGGAAAGAGUCUGCCUAAAAAUGAAGCAAUCGCGGAGGAACGGAGCAGGAGCCCAGGCAGCUAGAAGCAGAUGUCUCCAGUACUGCAGAGCCAAACAAUAGAGAUGUCUGCAGUUCUACACCCUCACUUGGAAAGGAACUACCAACAGGAGCCUCCUAACCCACAUCUGACCGUGAGAAGAUUAAGUCACUGAUGUUUGAGGGUUGUUUGUGUAGAAGCUAACAAGUGCUUUCCUAACAUUCGAUCUUUUUCUGAGACUGAUUCUCCAGUCUUUUUUCAGUUUUGAUAGCCUUUCAGUAACUUCCUUUCCUGCUUGAAUAAUAACCAGAACCUACUUCUAUUGCUUUCCAGCAUAGUCUAUGAUGGAUCUAUCACUAAAUUCAAAUAGCCAGAUGAUUAUAAAAAAUGAGAUUAUACGACGUUCUGUCACUCAAGACUGUAGAUGUUUAUUGUAUUGACCAUUUAGAGUCAACAAAAUACAUACCCAACACUGACUACAUUUCAAAGGCACAAAAUAUAUUUUAAGACACAGACUCACUCACUAUGUAGUCCAGACCUCAAACUCACGAUCCCCCUACCCCAGC
This is a long non-coding RNA of Fukomys damarensis (Damara mole-rat), 1636 nucleotides long. RefSeq lists it as uncharacterized. The transcript has 5 exons. The record is from RefSeq and is a predicted model, not a curated record. Lineage: Eukaryota; Metazoa; Chordata; Mammalia; Rodentia; Bathyergidae.